UUCGGUGGUCAUAGCGUGAGGGAAACGCCCGGUUACAUUCCGAACCCGGAAGCUAAGCCUUACAGCGCCGAU
Molecule: ribosomal RNA, 72 nt
Filed under: Streptomyces sp. SID625
Lineage: Bacteria; Bacillati; Actinomycetota; Actinomycetes; Kitasatosporales; Streptomycetaceae
Source: RNAcentral